Molecule: non-coding RNA, 74 nt
Organism: Aedes aegypti (yellow fever mosquito)
Lineage: Eukaryota; Metazoa; Arthropoda; Insecta; Diptera; Culicidae
Source: Rfam
GGGUUGGUGGUUUAAUGGCUAUCGCUUCUGCUUAGCAAGCAGGAGGUCGUGGGUUCAAACCCAGGCCCGUCCCU